This 76-nucleotide transfer RNA is filed under the name Candidatus Poribacteria bacterium. RNAcentral describes it as "tRNA-Thr". It matches the Rfam family "tRNA". Rfam says of the family: Transfer RNA (tRNA) molecules are approximately 80 nucleotides in length. Their secondary structure includes four short double-helical elements and three loops (D, anti-codon, and T loops). The record is from RNAcentral. Lineage: Bacteria; Candidatus Poribacteria.
GCUGGCGUAGCUCAAUCGGCAGAGCAAGUGAUUUGUAAUCACUAGGUUGGAGGUUCAAGUCCUCUCGUCAGCUCCA